This is a long non-coding RNA of Lemur catta (Ring-tailed lemur), 496 nucleotides long. RefSeq lists it as uncharacterized. The transcript is spliced from 3 exons. The record is from RefSeq and is a predicted model, not a curated record. Lineage: Eukaryota; Metazoa; Chordata; Mammalia; Primates; Lemuridae.
CAUUCAUUGUUUACCUGAAUUCAAGUCUAACUGGGCGACGUUUGCUGUUCUUGCUAAGUCUGGCCGUCCUCUGCCGAGUCACGUUUCAGCCACGCUGGGCUGAGAGACCCCAGCCUUGGUGCCAUCUCGGUUCUCAACAACCAGACCUUCAGAACGUGCUGUGUCUUUUAAAACGCAUCGUAAAGAACUAAAACUCCCUUCCCCAAAGCCCCCCAAGCUGGAGGACUCGGUAGAAAACAUCGCAGAAAUCAGCGCGACAGAUCACGCGUGGACACCACCCAGAAAGUUCUCUGGCACACCCGACGCCCUCACCAAAGACAUGCAACUCGCAAACUAGGAAAUUCGUCGCUGCCCCCCUCACUCCAUGUAAGGACACCUCAAGCCAACACCCAGAAAUCUUCUCAACUAAACGUUCUCCAGACCCGAAAAACCGAGUUGAUGGUUUGUUCAAACCUUCAGGAAACCUGCCUCCCAGCCAACGGCAGAAGGAAAAGAU